CUCCCACAUGGGCAUGGGGUUUUUGGGUUUCAAGACACAAAUCACAGAACUGGAUGGGCAUAUAGAAGGUACACUAUGAAUCUACGGCGUCAACCUGCUGGAGUUACUUGUCCUCAGUGAUGAGCAGCUGCUUCCUCCUUGGGCUUGGUCAUCUGGACAGCUAAAAAAACAUGCAACUGUAAGAAGAUGGAUUGAUGGUAAAGAGUGAAGAAUUGUGAUUCAGUGAACAGAAAAGCAUAUGUACAUUACAAUAUUGCAGACAAGAAAAUAAUAAUCCUAAUAUGAAGAUAAGUGUUUUUCUUAUUGAUGGUUGUAAGAUGGACUGAUCGUAAAAAGAGAGAAGAAUUUUGAUUCAGUGAACAGAAAACAAGACGUUAUUAUUCAGCUGUGAUACUUGAUAUUUGACAAGUAUCGAUAUUUGACAAGUAUGGUUUCAUGUAUACUCCUACAAGUUAGGCAGAGCAAUGUACAAGAUAAAUCGUUUUAUAUAAAGCGUGUCCAAUCAAUAUUCAAAAUGCUAUUGAGCAGAGCAUAGAAACAGAGUCCCAAAAAUCUAAUUAUCUGCUGCGGCGACAGCCACGCAGCAAGCCAGCAGCGGCAGGCUGGGGCGAGGGUUGGGGAGGAGGCAAGUGUUCUCAGGUUAUUAACAGGGAAACUGGGUGAUUAACAUCUCUCCAAAAAGAAAAGUAAAACAAAUUAAAAUAUUGAGUGUGGCAGCAACAUCUACUUGUUACUGGAGUCCCAGUUCAAGAUGGCCAAAGGCCACUUGGCACCAUGGAACCUGCACAAUUUCCAUCAUAUAUAUGAAUGAGUUAGGAAGUAAAGUAGAUUUGAACUACCCAGCCUCAUACAUAUAUAUAAAGUGUGCUGCACUGCUGCUACAGAAAGUUUCAUAGGCUUCCAAGUGAAGGGAUACUAGUUGUUCAACUGCCGUGUUUAUUUUUUGUUGUUGGGGAAAACAAUAGCUUAAUCAGUUCACUUCUCUAAUAGUAUGAACAACCUAUCACUCAAACAGUCCUUGAGUGCUAAUAUAUUAUUGUAUUGGUAAAAGAAACAUGUCACCACGAAGAGCUUUAACAGUUAGCACCAUUUUUUAUUAGAGAAGUUCAGAGAGAGAUUUGAGAAAUCUAUAUUAGAGAAAACUUGAAGACAACAUACAGAAUUACGAGCUUAACAGUUACUGCUAUGACCAUAUCGCGCAAGCUACAACAUAUAAAUUAAUUAGCAUUAGUAUGAUGUAUAUGGACAGAAUGUCUACCUUGCCGUCCGCAAGAAACAUGACGGGAGGUCGAGGAGAUUUCGAGCGGCUCCGUGUCAGCUGCCAUCACCACGACGAACUCAGAUGUCCCGCUGUUAAGAGAACUUGGUCGCUGUGGAAAGCAAGAAACAAAGAUUAAAAUCACAGGAGGUGAAAUUAACAGGAAGGACCAAUGGGCACUGCUAGGGAUUGGUCACCUUCAUGGGGAACUGAACAUCCAACUAGUUUUAGUCAAAGUCUUAAGCAUAUACAUACAUACAAAUUGAACCAAAAAUCAUAUGCAUGUCUGUACAAUUAAUUGCAAGGCUAUCCAACUUGCAGUUGGAGAGAGUACAAACUAGUUUACUGGUAGUAAAGCACAGCAGCCUACACAACAUUCAGGUUCUCGCACAAAUGCUAGUAGACAGACAAGAGUUGACCACAAACAAAGAAUGAAUCCAUCAUAUUAUGCCAGUAGUAGGUACAGCUUGGCUUCAGUCAUAGAAAGGGAACAUGAGUUUGCUUGCUUGAACCAAAAGGUUCACCAUAGGAAUUGGGCAUCCAACGUGUUUUAGCCAAAGUCGUAAGCAUGAACAAACAAACAUACGUACAAAAUGAACCAAAAUCCAUAUGUCCGUGUAAUUAACUGCAGGUGCCAUCCAACAUGCUAUUGGACAGAGUAGAGCCUGAUUUACUAGCAGCCUGACACAAAAUUCUAACUCUGGGCUUGGUGCAUGAAUCCUAGUAGAGAGACAAGAAAGAGUUGACCACAACAAAGAAUUCAUUCAUGGGAUUAUUCCAGUAGCAAGUACUGCUUGGCUGCAGUUUUAGAAAGGAGACUUGAGUUUGGUCAAACAAAAAGAAAAAGUGACGCAUACUUGUUCAUAGAUAGAAACUGAACAUCCAACGGCAACGGCGGCGCCGAGGCGGGUGGACGGGCGGCAGCUUGGGUGAUCUCAUCUGCUAGACCAUGUCGCUGAUGAGCUGCACGUGGCUGCUCCGGUGCAUCUCCA
Molecule: long non-coding RNA, 2250 nt
Filed under: Triticum aestivum (bread wheat)
Lineage: Eukaryota; Viridiplantae; Streptophyta; Magnoliopsida; Poales; Poaceae
Description: long non-coding RNA (TAES_LNC021299)
Source: RNAcentral